GACGAACGCUGGCGGCGUGCCUAAUACGUGCAAGCCGAGCGAGCGGAACCAACAGAUUUACUUCGGUAAUGACGUUGGGAAAGCGAGCGGCGGAUGGGUGGGUAACACGUGGGAACCUGCCCCUAAGUCUGGGAUACCAUUUGGAAACAGGUGCUAAUACCGGAUAAUAAAGCAGAUCGCAUGAUCAGCUUUUGAAAGGCGGCGUAAGCUGUCGCUAAGGGAUGGCCCCGCGGUGCAUUAGCUAGUUGGUAAGGUAACGGCUUACCAAGGCGACGAUGCAUAGCCGAGUUGAGAGACUGAUCGGCCACAUUGGGACUGAGACACGGCCCAAAACUCCUACGGGAGGCAGCAGUAGGGAAUCUUCCACAAUGGACGCAAGUCUGAUGGAGCAACGCCGCGUGAGUGAAGAAGGUUUUCGGAUCGUAAAGCUCUGUUGUUGGUGAAGAAGGAUAG
This 453-nucleotide ribosomal RNA is filed under the name uncultured Lactobacillus sp. RNAcentral's name for it is "bacterial SSU rRNA". It matches the Rfam family "Bacterial small subunit ribosomal RNA", at positions 28 to 455 of the family's 1533-position model. Lineage: Bacteria; Bacillati; Bacillota; Bacilli; Lactobacillales; Lactobacillaceae. The record is from RNAcentral.